This 1008-nucleotide ribosomal RNA is filed under the name uncultured marine bacterium. Its description in RNAcentral is "bacterial SSU rRNA". It matches the Rfam family "Bacterial small subunit ribosomal RNA", at positions 61 to 1112 of the family's 1533-position model. The record is from RNAcentral.
GUCGAACGCAGUAGCAAUACUGAGUGGCAAACGGGUGAGUAUAAUGUGGGUGUCUACCUUUUGGUUUGGAAUAACACGAGGAAACUUGUGCUAAUACCGGAUAAGCCCUUACGGGGAAAGUUUUAACGCCGAAAGAUGAGCCCGCACUUGAUUAGCUAGUUGGUGAGGUAAUAGCUCACCAAGGCAACGAUCAAUAGCUGUUCUUAGAGGAAGACCAGCCACAUUGGGACUGAGACACGGCCCAAACUCCUACGGGAGGCAGCAGUAGGGAAUCUUGCACAAUGGGGGAAACCCUGAUGCAGCGAUGCCGCGUGAGUGAAGAAGGCCCUUGGGUUGUAAAACUCUUUCGUCGGGGAAGAAAAUGACUGUACCCGAAUAAGAAGGUCCGGCUAACUUCGUGCCAGCAGCCGCGGUAAUACGAAGGGACCUAGCGUAGUUCGGAAUUACUGGGCUUAAAGAGCUCGUAGGUGGUUAAAAAAGUUGAUGGUGAAAUCCCAAGGCUCAACCUUGGAACUGCCAUCAAAACUUUUUAGCUAGAGUGUGAUAGAGGAAAGUGGAAUUUCUAGUGUAGAGGUGAAAUUCGUAGAUAUUAGAAAGAACACCAAAUGCGAAGGCAACUUUCUGGGUCACUACUGACACUGAGGAGCGAAAGCAUGGGUAGCGAAGAGGAUUAGAUACCCUCGUAGUCCAUGCCGUAAACGAUGUGUGCUAGACGUUGGAAAUUUAUUUUUCAGUGUCGCAGUGAAAGCAUUAAGCACACCGCCUGGGGAGUACGACCGCAAGGUUAAAACUCAAAUGAAUUGACGGGGACCCGCACAAGCAGUGGAGCAUGUGGUUUAAUUCGAAGAUACGCGCAGAACCUUACCAACACUUGACAUGUUCGUCGCGAGACCAAGAGAUUGGUUUCUUCAUUCAGUUGGACGAAACACAAGGUGCUGCAUGGCUGUCGUCAGCUCGUGUCGUGAGAUGUUGGGUUAAGUUCCCGCAACGAGCGCAACCCCUACUUUU